Molecule: unclassified non-coding RNA, 243 nt
Filed under: Glomeraceae sp.
Lineage: Eukaryota; Fungi; Glomeromycota; Glomeromycetes; Glomerales; Glomeraceae
Description: partial contains 5.8S ribosomal RNA and internal transcribed spacer 2
Rfam family: 5.8S ribosomal RNA (bases 1-71)
Source: RNAcentral
GUGAAUCAUCAAAUUUUUGAACGCAAAUUGCGCUUCCUGGUAUCCCGGGAAGUAUGCCUGUUUGAGGGUCAGUAUUAACAAAAAAUCGGUUUGGUUGCAAAUUGUGACGUUUCCGGAGUUUGGGCUUAUCUUAACUUUUUUGGUUAAGGGGCUUAAAAUUGACCUUUUUUGCGCAUUUUUAGCCGACAUAAAUUUUUUUUUUUUUCUUUUAUUCUUAUUCCAAAAUUCUAAUUAGAUGGAAUC